This 468-nucleotide ribosomal RNA is filed under the name uncultured bacterium. RNAcentral's name for it is "partial 16S ribosomal RNA". It matches the Rfam family "Bacterial small subunit ribosomal RNA", at positions 28 to 507 of the family's 1533-position model. The record is from RNAcentral.
GACGAACGCUGGCGGCGUGCUUAACACAUGCAAGUCGAACGGAAAGGCCCUGCUUUUGUGGGGUGCUCGAGUGGCGAACGGGUGAGUAACACGUGAGUAACCUGCCCUUGACUUUGGGAUAACUUCAGGGAACUGGGGCUAAUACCGGAUAGGAGCUCCUGCUGCAUGGUGGGGGUUGGAAAGUUUCGGCGGUUGGGGAUGGACUCGCGGCUUAUCAGCUUGUUGGUGGGGUAGUGGCUUACCAAGGCUUUGACGGGUAGCCGGCCUGAGAGGGUGGCCGGCCACAUUGGGACUGAGAUACGGCCCAGACUCCUACGGGAGGCAGCAGUGGGGAAUAUUGCACAAUGGGCGGAAGCCUGAUGCAGCAACGCCGCGUGCGGGAUGACGGCCUUCGGGUUGUAAACCGCUUUCGCCUGUGACGAAGCGUGAGUGACGGUAAUGGGUAAAGAAGCACCGGCUAACUACGUG